Molecule: small RNA, 302 nt
Filed under: Salvator merianae (Argentine black and white tegu)
Lineage: Eukaryota; Metazoa; Chordata; Lepidosauria; Squamata; Teiidae
Description: 7SK RNA (ENSSMRG00000019883.1)
Rfam family: 7SK RNA
About the family: 7SK was discovered as an abundant small nuclear RNA in the mid-70s but a possible function has only recently been suggested. Two independent studies have found that 7SK RNA binds the CDK9/cyclin T complex (known as elongation factor P-TEFb). P-TEFb activates transcription by phosphorylating the C-terminal domain of RNA polymerase II.
Source: Rfam by way of RNAcentral
AAAUAUAGAGGCAAUCUGGUUGCAACAACUGUCACCUCAUUGAAUGCUAGGGUUGAUUCAACAGAUAUGGCUGGCUAGGCUGGUGUUCUCUUCUUCCUUCACUGCUUGCUCCAUGUACAUCCCUCCCAAAGCUGUGCACUUUGUAGAAGAGGAUGACCAUCCCAGAUAGAAGGAGUGAAGCAUUCUUUGGUCAAGGGUACAUGAUCGCACCACUCCCCUGCUAGAACCUCCAUUGCUCCAACUUUCUUUCAAUUCUCCACUUCUCCUUCAUACAUAUUUCAAUUCAUGAUUGGCUAUAGUGU